RNAcentral lists this transfer RNA (76 nucleotides) under Gammaproteobacteria bacterium. RNAcentral describes it as "tRNA-Lys". It matches the Rfam family "tRNA". From Rfam's summary of the family: Transfer RNA (tRNA) molecules are approximately 80 nucleotides in length. RNAcentral also lists the same sequence under 2 other names. The record is from RNAcentral. Lineage: Bacteria; Pseudomonadati; Pseudomonadota; Gammaproteobacteria.
GGGCCGUUAGCUCAAUUGGUAGAGCAGUGGACUCUUAAUCCAUUGGUUGUAAGUUCAAGUCUUACACGGCCCACCA